GGGAACGGGCCGCCACGCGCGCUCCUCGCUUCGGCCGCGGAGGGUGCUGGGGGCAGGCCCGAGGCUACCGGCAGUACACCAGAGUUUUGGCUACUUCAGCUCCAGCUGCUGCUGAUACUAAAGAAGAAAGCAAAACUGGCACAGAAAAUAAUUCUCCCAACCUAAUAUUCAUUACACAUCAGGCUGAAUUACCAGAUUCUUCAUCAUCACCCUGUGCAAUAAUCCUGAAUAUUCAGUUGUUGACACCAUGACCAGCAGCCACAGCAAUUAUUGACUCAUCUGCACUUUUCAUUUUGGAAGUUAUCUUGUGAACAAAGCUGCAAAUUCUAAAUCCUGUCUGCUGCACCACUGUUUUGACUAUGUGUUUGAAAUCCACCUGAAAUAUAGGUAUUUUCCUCCUUCUUAAAGAUUUUAUUCUCUCCAAGCCAGAAGCUCAGAUCACCCUGUACUAAGCACUAGGAUUUGGACUAGUGGUUAGAUCUCUCUAUAUAUGAGUUGCUAUAAUUUGAUGAAGAUCUAGUUUCAGUUUGCA
Molecule: long non-coding RNA, 532 nt
Organism: Melopsittacus undulatus (budgerigar)
Lineage: Eukaryota; Metazoa; Chordata; Aves; Psittaciformes; Psittaculidae
Exons: 3
Source: RefSeq, a predicted model, not a curated record